This 254-nucleotide ribosomal RNA is filed under the name uncultured bacterium. RNAcentral describes it as "partial 16S ribosomal RNA". It matches the Rfam family "Bacterial small subunit ribosomal RNA", at positions 524 to 776 of the family's 1533-position model. The record is from RNAcentral.
UACAGAGGUGGCAAGCGUUGUUCGGAAUUACUGGGCGUAAAGAGCUCGUAGGCGGUUCGAUAAGUCGGGUGUGAAACCUCCAGGCUCAACCUGGAGACGCCACCCGAUACUGUCGUGACUAGAGUCCAGUAGGGGAGCGUGGAAUUCCUGGUGUAGCGGUGAAAUGCGCAGAUAUCAGGAGGAACACCAGCGGCGAAGGCGGCGCUCUGGGCUGGAACUGACGCUGAGGAGCGAAAGCGUGGGGAGCGAACAGG